RNAcentral lists this non-coding RNA (264 nucleotides) under Triticum aestivum (bread wheat). RNAcentral's name for it is "Bacterial large subunit ribosomal RNA". It matches the Rfam family "Bacterial large subunit ribosomal RNA", at positions 629 to 800 of the family's 2925-position model. Lineage: Eukaryota; Viridiplantae; Streptophyta; Magnoliopsida; Poales; Poaceae. The record is from Rfam by way of RNAcentral.
CAUAGGCAGUGGCUUGGUUAAGGGAACGGAACCCACCGGAGCCAUAGCGAAAGCGAGUCUUAAUAGGGCGAUUGUCACUGCUUAUGGACCCGAACCUGGGUGAUCUAUCCAUGACCAGGAUGAAGCUUGGAUGAAACUAAGCAGAGGUCCGAACCGACUGAUAUUGGGCAAUUUGCUUUAUACCUACUAUUCUGUCUGUUUUUGGUUUCUAGUCUGAUUUUAUUAGUAGCUAUGAUUGGGGCUAUAGUACUUACUAUGCAUAGG